GCUACGUUAGCUUCGCUGAUAGUGCGUCUGCCUUGUAAGCGCUAGGCCGCGGGUUCGAUUCCCGCCCGUGGCG
This 73-nucleotide transfer RNA is filed under the name Diaphorina citri (Asian citrus psyllid). It matches the Rfam family "tRNA". From Rfam's summary of the family: Transfer RNA (tRNA) molecules are approximately 80 nucleotides in length. Their secondary structure includes four short double-helical elements and three loops (D, anti-codon, and T loops). The record is from Rfam by way of RNAcentral. Lineage: Eukaryota; Metazoa; Arthropoda; Insecta; Hemiptera; Psyllidae.